CCUACGGGAGGCAGCAGUGAGGAAUAUUGGUCAAUGGGCGCGAGCCUGAACCAGCCAAGUCGCGUGAGGGAUGACGGUCCUACGGAUUGUAAACCUCUUUUGCCGGGGAGCAAGCGUGCGUUCGUGAACGCGCGUCGAGAGUACCCGGAGAAAAAGCAUCGGCUAACUCCGUGCCAGCAGCCGCGGUAAUACGGAGGAUGCGAGCGUUAUCCGGAUUUAUUGGGUUUAAAGGGUGCGUAGGCGGGAUGCCAAGUCAGCGGUAAAAAUUCGGGGCUCAACCCCGUCCGGCCGUUGAAACUGGGGGCCUUGAGUGGGCGAGAAGAAGGCGGAAUGCGUGGUGUAGCGGUGAAAUGCAUAGAUAUCACGCAGAACCCCGAUUGCGAAGGCAGCCUUCCGGCGCCCUACUGACGCUGAGGCACGAAAGUGCGGGGAUCGAACAGGAUUAGAUACCCGGGUAGUC
RNAcentral lists this ribosomal RNA (460 nucleotides) under uncultured bacterium. RNAcentral describes it as "partial 16S ribosomal RNA". It matches the Rfam family "Bacterial small subunit ribosomal RNA", at positions 338 to 795 of the family's 1533-position model. The record is from RNAcentral.